This 125-nucleotide small RNA is filed under the name Marmota monax (woodchuck). Lineage: Eukaryota; Metazoa; Chordata; Mammalia; Rodentia; Sciuridae. The record is from RNAcentral.
GCUAGGUGUGGUGGUGCAUGCCUGUAAUCCCAGCAGCUCGGGAGGCUGAGGCAGGAGGAUCACUGGUUCCAAGGCAGCCUCGGCAAAGGUGAGUUGCUUUGCAACUCAGUGAGACCCUGUCUCUA